This 200-nucleotide ribosomal RNA is filed under the name uncultured prokaryote. RNAcentral describes it as "partial 16S ribosomal RNA". It matches the Rfam family "Bacterial small subunit ribosomal RNA", at positions 1183 to 1382 of the family's 1533-position model. The record is from RNAcentral.
CGUCAAAUCAUCAUGCCCCUUAUGUCCUGGGCUACACACGUAAUACAAUGGCCGGUACAACGAGUCGCAACAUGGCAACAUGAAGCUAAUCUCUUAAAGCCGGUCCCAGUCCGGAUUGUCCUCUGCAACUCGAGGGCAUGAAGUUGGAAUCGCUAGUAAUCCCGAAUCAGAAUGUCGGGGUGAAUACGUUCUCGGGUGUU